RNAcentral lists this small nucleolar RNA (129 nucleotides) under Mastacembelus armatus (zig-zag eel). RNAcentral describes it as "Small nucleolar RNA SNORA77 (ENSMAMG00000020898.2)". It matches the Rfam family "Small nucleolar RNA SNORA77". From Rfam's summary of the family: ACA63 (SNORA77) is a member of the H/ACA class of snoRNAs that guide the sites of modification of uridines to pseudouridines. This snoRNA was identified by computational screening and its expression in mouse experimentally verified by Northern blot and primer extension analysis. The record is from Rfam by way of RNAcentral. Lineage: Eukaryota; Metazoa; Chordata; Actinopteri; Synbranchiformes; Mastacembelidae.
GCAGACACACUCUGUUCUUUGCUGCUCCCUCCAGCCAGGGACUUUUUCUGUCUGCCACAUGAACAUGCAGAAUGUAACACAUUGCUGGCUCUCUAAAAGGCUGGUGUCACUAUGUUCUGCUACAGUUCA